This 310-nucleotide ribosomal RNA is filed under the name uncultured bacterium. Its description in RNAcentral is "bacterial SSU rRNA". It matches the Rfam family "Bacterial small subunit ribosomal RNA", at positions 28 to 333 of the family's 1533-position model. The record is from RNAcentral.
GACGAACGCUGGCGGCGCGCCUAACACAUGCAAGUCGAACGAGCGGGAGAGAGCUUGCUUUCUCGAGCGAGUGGCGAACGGGUGAGUAACGCGUGAGGAACCUGCCUCAAAGAGGGGGACAACAGUUGGAAACGACUGCUAAUACCGCAUAAGCCCACAGGUCGGCAUCGACCAGAGGGAAAAGGAGCAAUCCGCUUUGAGAUGGCCUCGCGUCCGAUUAGCUAGUUGGUGAGGUAACGGCCCACCAAGGCGACGAUCGGUAGCCGGACUGAGAGGUUGAACGGCCACAUUGGGACUGAGACACGGCCAG